CCUACGGGUGGCUGCAGUGGGGUAUAUUGCACAAUGGGCGCAAGCCUGAUGCAGCCAUGCCGCGUGUGUGAAGAAGGCCUUCGGGUUGUAAAGCACUUUCAGCGGGGAGGAAGGCGGUGAGGUUAAUAACCUCAUCGAUUGACGUUACCCGCAGAAGAAGCACCGGCUAACUCCGUGCCAGCAGCCGCGGUAAUACGGAGGGUGCAAGCGUUAAUCGGAAUUACUGGGCGUAAAGCGCACGCAGGCGGUCUGUCAAGUCGGAUGUGAAAUCCCCGGGCUCAACCUGGGAACUGCAUUCGAAACUGGCAGGCUAGAGUCUUGUAGAGGGGGGGAGAAUUCCAGGUGUAGCGGUGAAAUGCGUAGAGAUCUGGAGGAAUACCGGUGGCGAAGGCAGCUACCUGGACGACUUGUGACGCUGAGGCGCGAAAGCGUGGGGAGCAAACCGGAUUAGAUACCCUUGUAGUC
Molecule: ribosomal RNA, 465 nt
Filed under: uncultured Klebsiella sp.
Lineage: Bacteria; Pseudomonadati; Pseudomonadota; Gammaproteobacteria; Enterobacterales; Enterobacteriaceae
Description: bacterial SSU rRNA
Rfam family: Bacterial small subunit ribosomal RNA
Source: RNAcentral